CGGGGGCAACCCUGGUGGCGAGUGGCGAACGGGUGAGUAAUGCAUCGGAACGUGCCCAGUUGUGGGGGAUAACCCGGCGAAAGCCGGGCUAAUACCGCAUACGACCUACGGGUGAAAGCGGGGGACCGCAAGGCCUCGCGCUACUGGAGCGGCCGAUGUCUGAUUAGCUAGUUGGCGGGGUAAGAGCCCACCAAGGCGACGAUCAGUAGCUGGUCUGAGAGGACGACCAGCCACACUGGGACUGAGACACGGCCCAGACUCCUACGGGAGGCAGCAGUGGGGAAUUUUGGACAAUGGGCGCAAGCCUGAUCCAGCCAUGCCGCGUGCGGGAAGAAGGCCUUCGGG
RNAcentral lists this ribosomal RNA (345 nucleotides) under uncultured bacterium. RNAcentral describes it as "bacterial SSU rRNA". It matches the Rfam family "Bacterial small subunit ribosomal RNA", at positions 74 to 422 of the family's 1533-position model. The record is from RNAcentral.